CAGUCCAUCCUAAUUCCUGCUGGUCACAUUGUACCUUCCAGGUUUCGCUGGUGGACCAAAGCAAAGUAGAAACCCCCCCCUGGUGGCUGUGGCGCAUCCGUGGGCUCGCAGCCAGCCGGGGUCUCCAGACACCA
Molecule: small nucleolar RNA, 134 nt
Organism: Sarcophilus harrisii (Tasmanian devil)
Lineage: Eukaryota; Metazoa; Chordata; Mammalia; Dasyuromorphia; Dasyuridae
Source: Ensembl